Non-coding RNA from Ictidomys tridecemlineatus (thirteen-lined ground squirrel), 901 nucleotides. The record is from RefSeq and is a predicted model, not a curated record. Lineage: Eukaryota; Metazoa; Chordata; Mammalia; Rodentia; Sciuridae.
CUACAGAGAUUCCAGAACCCUAUAUCAUCCCAGGUUUAGGGAAAAGGCAAAGAAGCACUACCUCUCUAGAGAACCAGAAAAGAAGAAAGCAGUGGUGCUUAUUACCUAAGCAUCUAAAAAAACUCCUUGAAGCCACGCAUGUCAGCAUUAAAAGCAUCAAAUCAGCACUGCCAUUGAAGGCAUCUUGUAUCUGCCUUGAAGAAAAUACAUACUAGGAGCAGGAUUUCAUCAUCUUCCUAAGGACAAAGAAUUAUAAAGGAUACAAAACAAGUUUCAGUUUUGGCUUCUAAGGAAACUGCUGGGAGCAAAAGAGUUUGCUUCAACUGACCACAAAAGUUCUUAUUCAUUAUAUAAAGUGGACAUGGAAAUCCUAAUUUCAGAAGCAGAAUAUCAUUCCAUGGAGCUCAAAUAAAAGGAAAAAUUUUCCACCAAAUCUUCCCCAAAGAAACCAUACUUAAAUGCCUUGAUCCCUUACUUACCUAUUUGGUGAAGGUGAAUCAGGUCAACAGUUGAAGGACUCUAUCUUUUCAAGAUACAUAUUUGAAGAACCACAGAUGAAAUUAUAGUAUGUGCAGGACUGACUUCCAAAUGAUAUUACAGGAGGCUGACUGAGGAGAUGGAUAAAACAAUUCUGGUCAAAAGCUGAUAGAUAAUGAAUAUAUAGGAAUUCAUUACACUAUCCUCUCUACAUUUAAAUAUAUUUGAAGUCUUCCAAAAUUGAAAAAUAUUAAAAAAUUAAAAUUAAGAACUUCAAAUGAGAAACUAAAUAAACAAUAAAAAGGAGCUCCAUAUAUAAAUCUCUCAGUUCACAUACUAUAAUUAAAUACAGGGGUAUAAUAUUAUUAGAUAUCUUCCAUAAACAAAGGGAAAAAUAAUGAGAGAAAGUCAUCUUUGGAGGAAC